Molecule: long non-coding RNA, 587 nt
Organism: Populus euphratica (Euphrates poplar)
Lineage: Eukaryota; Viridiplantae; Streptophyta; Magnoliopsida; Malpighiales; Salicaceae
Exons: 4
Source: RefSeq, a predicted model, not a curated record
UAGGACUUCAUCUUUUGCAACUUGAUCUUUUCUAUAUUUCAAUUGAUGCCUCGCUCUUUUUUUAUUCUCUCUGCAAGAUUUAUUGAAAUGAAAGAACAAUGGAGACAGAGAAAGCAAACAAAACACACAAACACAAUCACCGAGACAAGCUAGAGAGCUACUUCUUGUAAAAGAAUUGAAGAAUGAUAGAGACAGAAAGCAAACAACUUUGUAUUGUUUUUGUGUGCAAGACAAAGGUGAGAUCUGGGGCUGGAAGCUUUUAAAAGGUUCUUCCUACGAGCUUUUACUUUCUUGCUCGAAAUCUUGGCAGCAGCUUGUCUAGGUUUUCAGGGACUGGUCAGUUGGAUGAACAGGCUAUGCUGUUUAGCUUUUGAGCAAGUAUGGUGAAAGGAGCUUAUAAUGGUGUCUAGGUCUAUGUUACGUGUGUUUAGUGUUUGUGUUCUUAAUUUGCCCCUGGUUUAAGUGGAUCAACCAAAAAGCAUGUCCGGACACAUGGCAGCCCCAACUAAAUCUAAAAACAAUACGUACCAUCUCUGUGAUCUCUAUUUUUGCUGUACUUUGUAAAAAAAUUGCUUUAUGUGAUGAGC